This 253-nucleotide ribosomal RNA is filed under the name uncultured bacterium. RNAcentral describes it as "partial 16S ribosomal RNA". It matches the Rfam family "Bacterial small subunit ribosomal RNA", at positions 524 to 776 of the family's 1533-position model. The record is from RNAcentral.
GACGGAGGGUGCUAGCGUUGUUCGGAAUGACUGGGCGUAAAGCGCACGUAGGCGGUUCGUUAAGUCAGAUGUGAAAGCCCCGGGCUCAACUCGGGAAGUGCAUUUGAAACUGGCGAGCUUGAAUAUGGAAGAGGGUCGCGGAAUUCCCGGUGUAGAGGUGAAAUUCGUAGAUAUCGGGAGGAACACCAGUGGCGAAGGCGGCGACCUGGGCCAAUAUUGACGCUGAGGUGCGAAAGCGUGGGGAGCAAACAGG